RNAcentral lists this ribosomal RNA (253 nucleotides) under uncultured bacterium. RNAcentral describes it as "partial 16S ribosomal RNA". It matches the Rfam family "Bacterial small subunit ribosomal RNA", at positions 524 to 776 of the family's 1533-position model. The record is from RNAcentral.
UACGAAGGGGGCUAGCGUUGCUCGGAAUCACUGGGCGUAAAGGGUGCGUAGGCGGGUCUUUAAGUCAGGGGUGAAAUCCUGGAGCUCAACUCCAGAACUGCCUUUGAUACUGAAGAUCUUGAGUUCGGGAGAGGCGAGUGGAACUGCGAGUGUAGAGGUGAAAUUCGUAGAUAUUCGCAAGAACACCAGUGGCGAAGGUGGCUCACUGGCCCGAUACUGACGCUGAGGCACGAAAGCGUGGGGAGCAAACAGG